RNAcentral lists this ribosomal RNA (544 nucleotides) under uncultured bacterium. Its description in RNAcentral is "bacterial SSU rRNA". It matches the Rfam family "Bacterial small subunit ribosomal RNA", at positions 69 to 628 of the family's 1533-position model. The record is from RNAcentral.
AGAUGAGGAGCUUGCUCUUCAAAUCGAGUGGCGAACGGGUGAGUAACGCGUGAGGAACCUGCCUCAAAGAGGGGGACAACAGUUGGAAACGACUGCUAAUACCGCAUAAGCCCACGGCUCGGCAUCGAGCAGAGGGAAAAGGAGCAAUCCGCUUUGAGAUGGCCUCGCGUCCGAUUAGCUAGUUGGCGAGGUAAUGGCCCACCAAGGCGACGAUCGGUAGCCGGACUGAGAGGUUGAACGGCCACAUUGGGACUGAGACACGGCCCAGACUCCUACGGGAGGCAGCAGUGGGGAAUAUUGCACAAUGGGGGAAACCCUGAUGCAGCGACGCCGCGUGGAGGAAGAAGGUCUUCGGAUUGUAAACUCCUGUUGUUGAGGAAGAUAAUGACGGUACUCAACAAGGAAGUGACGGCUAACUACGUGCCAGCAGCCGCGGUAAAACGUAGGUCACAAGCGUUGUCCGGAAUUACUGGGUGUAAAGGGAGCGCAGGCGGGAGAACAAGUUGGAAGUGAAAUCCAUGGGCUCAACCCAUGAACUGCUUUC